RNAcentral lists this ribosomal RNA (906 nucleotides) under Hypoxylon texense. RNAcentral's name for it is "partial large subunit ribosomal RNA". It matches the Rfam family "Eukaryotic large subunit ribosomal RNA", at positions 141 to 1074 of the family's 3401-position model. The record is from RNAcentral. Lineage: Eukaryota; Fungi; Ascomycota; Sordariomycetes; Xylariales; Hypoxylaceae.
AAUUGUAAUUUGUAGAGGAUGCUUUUGGUGCGGCGCCUUCCGAGUUCCCUGGAACGGGACGCCAGAGAGGGUGAGAGCCCCGUACGGUUGGAUACCUAGCCUCUAUAUAGCUCCUUCGACGAGUCGGGUAGUUUGGGAAUGCUGCUCUAAACGGGAGGUAAAUUUCUUCUAAAGCUAAAUACCGGCCAGAGACCGAUAGCGCACAAGUAGAGUGAUCGAAAGAUGAAAAGCACUUUGAAAAGAGGGUUAAAUAGCACGUGAAAUUGUUGAAAGGGAAGCGUUUGCGACCAGACCUUUUCCGGGCGGAUCAUCCGGUGUUCUCACCGGUGCACUUCGCCCGGUUUAGGCCAGCAUCGGUUUUCGUAGGGGGAUAAAGGCCUGGGGAACGUAUCUCCUUCGGGAGUGUUAUAGCCCCUCGCGUAAUACCCUUACGGGGACCGAGGACCGCGCUCUGCAAGGAUGCUGGCGUAAUGGUCGUCAACGACCCGUCUUGAAACACGGACCAAGGAGUCGAACAUUUGUGCGAGUGUUUGGGUGUUAAACCCUCACGCGUAAUGAAAGUGAACGGAGGUGAGAGCCCUUCGGGGUGCAUCAUCGACCGAUCCUGAUGUCUUCGGAUGGAUUUGAGUAAGAGCAUAACUGUUCGGACCCGAAAGAUGGUGAACUAUGCGUGGAUAGGGUGAAGCCAGAGGAAACUCUGGUGGAGGCUCGCAGCGGUUCUGACGUGCAAAUCGAUCGUCAAAUCUGCGCAUGGGGGCGAAAGACUUAUCGAACCAUCUAGUAGCUGGUUACCGCCGAAGUUUCCCUCAGGAUAGCAGUGUUGUUUUCAGUUUUAUGAGGUAAAGCGAAUGAUUAGGGACUCGGGGGCGCUUUAUUGCCUCAUCCAUUCUCAAACUUUAAAUAUGU